AAUGGCGACCGGCGCACGGGUGAGUAACACGUAUCCAACCUGCCGAUAACUCGGGGAUAGCCUUUCGAAAGAAAGAUUAAUAUCCGAUGGUAUAAUCAGACCGCAUGGUCUUGUUAUUAAAGAAUUUCGGUUAUCGAUGGGGAUGCGUUCCAUUAGGCAGUUGGUGAGGUAACGGCUCACCAAACCUUCGAUGGAUAGGGGUUCUGAGAGGAAGGUCCCCCACAUUGGAACUGAGACACGGUCCAA
RNAcentral lists this ribosomal RNA (246 nucleotides) under uncultured bacterium. RNAcentral's name for it is "partial 16S ribosomal RNA". It matches the Rfam family "Bacterial small subunit ribosomal RNA", at positions 87 to 334 of the family's 1533-position model. The record is from RNAcentral.